Molecule: ribosomal RNA, 386 nt
Filed under: uncultured bacterium
Lineage: Bacteria
Description: bacterial SSU rRNA
Rfam family: Archaeal small subunit ribosomal RNA
Source: RNAcentral
GCGCGAAAACUUUACAAUGCUGGCAACAGCGAUAAGGGAACCUCGAGUGCAGGUUACAAAUCUUGCUUUCGAGAUUCCUAAAAAGCAUUUCAUAGCAAGGGCCGGGCAAGACCGGUUCCAGCCGCCGCGGGAACACCGGCGGCCCGAGUGGUAAACGUUAUUAUUGGGUCUAAAGGGUCUGUAGCCGGCCGGAUAAGUCCCUUGAGAAAUCUGGCAGCUUAACUGUCAGGCUUUCAGGAGAUACUGUCUGGCUCGAGGCCGGGAGAGGUGAGAGGUACUUCAGGGGUAGGGGUGAAAUCUUGUAAUCCUUGAAGGACCACCAGUGGCGAAGGCGUCUCACCAGAACGGACCUGACGGCAAGGGACGAAAGCUAGGGGCACGAACCG